RNAcentral lists this long non-coding RNA (15387 nucleotides) under Lactuca sativa (garden lettuce). RNAcentral describes it as "long non-coding RNA (LSAT_LNC003607)". The record is from RNAcentral. Lineage: Eukaryota; Viridiplantae; Streptophyta; Magnoliopsida; Asterales; Asteraceae.
AUAUAUAUAUGUGUGUGUGUGUGUGUGUGUGUGUGUGUGUGAGGGUUCACGGCCGUGAACCUCGUUUGCGGCCCUAAGGCGGUUUGCGAGAUUGCGGUCUGAAGUCGUUCACGGUCCGAGGGUUUGCGGCCCUCGUUCAUGACCGAAGUCUGAUGUUCUCGGUUGCGAGGCUGCUGUCCGAAGGGAAAGAAAGAAUGGUCUUCAGACUUCAAGAUUUCACCUCUUAAACAUAUGACACUUAUAAAACAUUAAUCCAAUCCAUUUAAGAUAGAAUAAGAUUUAAGUUGACUUUUGUUGACCCACGUUUGACUUUGGUUGACUAAGGUUGACUUUACAAGAAGAAAAUAAUGGGAUGUUACAACAUGAUUCUUGACUUUUUACGUAUUUCCUUUUGAUUUUUCAUUAGGAUCAUGAUGUGGAUGUUGUUUGGGGGAUAUCAUGUCAAAUACUUGAUUUUUUUUUUUGCUAAAGCAAGGACAACAAUGGUUGUAAUCGAAUGGUUUAAACAUGAGUACUCCUGCAAUUCUUGAUGUCAAAUACGGGGUGGAGGUAAUUAAAUUUCACUUCAUUAAUUUUGGUUGUUUCAGCUAACAUAAUCAGGAAAAAAAUCCAACAUAACCUACCCAUAUUAACGGCUUUGAACUCGUCCCAAAUGGAAGUACUAACCGGUAAAUGGAAGAUCCAAGAGUCAUGGUUCCAUCCCUAAGAAAGAAAAACAUACAUAUAUUUUACACGUUUGGCAAAAAUAUUAGUCUAUUUUGAUUUUCUUUUUCUUAGUGAUAUUGUGUUUGCUAAUGGAACCUUAUGUCUAUCGUUUUUUUACCAGGUAAACAUCGUGACAAUGUUCAAUAAAGGUUUCAAGAUCUUGAUGUCUAAAAGAAGCAUUCCCUUUGAACACAUAUCUAACAAGCUUCAUUUUCUUAUCACCGACUAAAGCAGUGCAGGUUCUAACUUUGUAUGUUCUCUCUCACCGACUUCAAGUACGCAAGGUUUAGUUUGUGUUUCGAUAUUUAUAGUUUUAAUUAUGAAUUUUAGGUAUCAUCAAAAUGGAUUUCUUUUUUUUUUUUUGUACAGGGGCUUAAUAUGGAUCAGAUUUCUUAUCAAGGAUCCUUUUGAUUCGGGUCUUUAUCCAAGGUGAGUCGCAUUGUUGGUUAAAAUUUUAGAUAUGAUGAUAACUUUCAGUUGAUUACUGAUUUUUGUUGACAUUUUCAGAUUUUAAUGCACUUUUGAAUGAUAACUUUUAAGUAGUUAUAGAUCCAAUGAUAACUUUUAAAUUUUAAUCCACUUAGCAUUCUACAAAUAUCUUACACGAGUUAUCUUUUGGUUAUUGUUACUAAAAACUUCAUCAACAUUUUUUACAGGUUAAGAAUCUCAGGAAAGAUGUUAAUAUUGUUGGUGUAGUAUGUUGAGAUCAGCCUCAACGGUAUAUUGUUUCUCCCUUUAACAUUAUCUUUGAAAUUGGAACAUUAAGCCUAUUUAACCUUGAAUUUUGUUGAAAGACGUGUGAAACUAUGUGGUGGUCUAUUGGUGAAUACUGUUGAAACGUUGAAGAAUUAACUCUCAUGUAUCAUAACCCUGAUGAAGGUAAAGACAAACCCAUCUUUAUGUCGUUUUUGUUUUCUUUGAUUUUGAUGAUUAUUUCUUUGUUUCACAAUUUAACAAAGAUAUGAUUUAUGUUGUUACAGGUUCUAUUCUAAUAUAUUUAGGGUUUAAGACAUGUGAUUCCUUAUAUGUUGACCCAAUAUAUGAUGAUAUUGCAAGUAGGAGAUGUCUAACUAAAAUGAAAGACAUGAAGGGAAGCAAUUACAAUUAGCUUAUCAUUAUCAUUAUCAUUAUAUACUUAUAAAGCUUGCAUUUUUUCUUGAACCACAUUCAUUUGAAACUCUCAUGCAUUUUUUAUUUUCACCACAUUCAUUUGAAACUCUCAUGACUUUUCAAUUUAUUUCUAAUAAUUAUUAUAAAUUGGUUAAUAAGGUUAAAUAAAUAUAAAACCUAAAGUGUAAUCAUAUAUAAACUAAAUUUCAAUAUUAAAAAUCUAUAUUUUCUUCUACUUAUAAAGUUUGUUUUUAACUUUUAAAAUACUAUAGUUAAUUUAAUAGGUCUAAUAUGUUGUAUGUAAACCAUUAUCAUUUUAAAGCUACAACUUUUGAUCAAUUUGUAUAAAAUACUUCAAUUGUUAAUUUAAAUAUAACCUUACAGGAUCAACUUAAAUAUAAAAUUUAGUUCAACUCAAACAACCCAAAGAAUAUUUUGUAAAUAGUUAAAAGUGAUAAAUUAUAGUGUCUUUCUAAUAAUGAUUAUAAAUUAUUUAAUAAGUUUAAAUAAGUAUCAAACCUAAAGUAUAAUAAAAAUAAACUAAAUUUCAAUAUUAAAAUAAUAUUUUUACUUCUACUUAUAAAGUUAUGUCUUUAAAUUUUAACAUAUUAUAUUUAAUUUAUUAGAUUUAAUAUGUUGUAUGUAAACCAUUAUCGGUUUAAAGCUACAACUUUUGAACUGUAUGGACAAAAUACUUAAAUUGUUAAUUUAAAUAUAACAUUACAUGAUCAACUUCAAUAUAAAUUUUAGUUCCACCUAAAAAAACCUAAAGAAUAUUUUGUGAAUAGUGAAAAAUGAUAAAUUGUAGUGCUAAAUACAAAAACUAAAUUGUAAUAUCAAUUCAUUAAAAUAUUUCUUAAAGAUAUUUUUAUAAUCGUUAAAAAUUUUGAAAUAAGUAGCUUAAAAUAACUUACAAUAACAAUAGUUAAAAAUAACUCUAUAUAAAUGAUUAUAUUGUUAUCUUUAAAAUAAAAAAAAAUUUAUUUGAUGUUUUAAAUAAUUACACUGAUAGAAAUUAAAACGUUAAACAAAUAAAUUUUAAUAAUGAAUUAACAAUAACAACUAGAAAUAAUAUUAAACCAUAUAUCAUAUUUAAUUUUAUUCAUGAAUAACCCGCAGGUAGAGGUCAAUCAAAAGAUUGUAAUUAUGCAGUUUUAAUAGAUGUAUAUAUUAUCAUAUAAUUCAAAAUAAUCAAUAUACAAUAUCAACUUAGUAUACGAAUUAUUAUAUCAAAUUUAACAACAUUAUUGUUAUAUUUUAAAAAACAUAUAUUUGUAAAGAUUUCAACUAUAUAGAUGCUUUUGCGCAACGCGCGGGCAUUCGCCUAGUAUGGGUAUAUGAUGGUGUAUGUUUUUAAUUGUCAUCUGGCUUUAGCCUUGAGUGUUAUUGUAGAUGAUAUUUAUAUAAGGAUUACAAAACAUGGUGGCAUAACUAGAACAUCAGGUGUAGGUGAUUCAAUACAAAAAUCAUCAGGUGUAGAACAUUUGGUGUGCAUACGCAAGUCAACAGAAGCAAGUUUCUAUGUAAGGUGUUUUUUGAACUUAUUUGUAGGAUAAUUACUAUCUUUUCAGGAUAUCAUGCCAUUGUCUAAGAUGUUUUUCUAAACUCUUAUCUGUACAACAAGAUAUGGAGCAACCUCUUAAAAGUUAAAAAGUGACAAUUAUCUAUUUGUUGUUCACAAUCAAGUUCACUGAAUCAUGUAAACAGAAGAAGUCAAAGUGUAAGUGCCUUUGAAUAUUAUAACCGAAUUUGAGAUCUAUAAAGUUAAAAGUGACAAUUACCGAUUUUACAAUUACCAAGUAAAAUUAACUAAUUUUUGUUUUUCAUUCUCUUGCUUCUAAUACUUUCUUUAGGAAAUGGCUAAGAGGAACGAGGAGCACUCUGUUUAAAAUGUAUUGUGUUUUCCCCGAUUAACUAUUUCUUUUUCUAGAUAAUUCCAUAGAUAAGUAACGUGCUUCAAACAAAAAUAUGUUAUGGGUUUUGAAGUUUGUUUUGCCCAAAGAAAAGAUAAUGUACUAUUAAAAAGUUCUAUUUUAGUGAAUUUGACCAUUUGCAAAAAGUUACAAUAAUAAUAAACAAAUCAUCUAAGUUACAAUAAUAUUUUACAUAUUUUUCGUAUUGGUGUUGUUUUAAGGUUAUUAUUUUACCCAUACACAACUUAAAAAUUGCUAACUGCUUAAAUUUUAUAACUUUAGGUAGAGUUUUGCCCUUCAUGUUGUUUUACCCACAAAAGGGUUGAAAAUGCUUCUUGAUUCGAGGCAAUGUAUUUUUAUGUAGUUUCUUUUAACAUUUCACUUUUAUUUAUUUUUUUAUUAUAACAUUAUAUCUUUAAAUUUUUACUAUGUAUGAUGAUUAUAUUUUUAUCAAUCUCCCGCCGCAACGCGCGACUUAAAAACCUCGUUUCUUACAUCACACUUUAUUACUAUUGAUAAAGCUGAUUUUUUUAAUUAAAAUUAACAUAACUAAUCCUUGAUAUGGUGAAGUCAACUUCCGGUUAAUUGUGUGUUACAAGUUUACAACAUCCUAUUUCAUUUACCUCCAUUACAACAUUAAACUUUUUCUUACUAAGUGCCUUCUGCUUUAAAAAAAUCUAACUACAUCUAUGUACUUUUGUUUUUGUCUUAUUAGAACAUUAUUUUUUCAAAAAUUGACCCCUAUUAUAAAAAUGAAAAAUGCUUUGUAUAUAAAGGACAUUGUUAACUUGGUAGAUUUUAAAAUUACAAUGUGCCUAACAACAAGAAGCAAAAGUAGGAUGCUGUAAUAAAUAAAUCAACAAAAGUAUGUUGCCAUUUCACAAACAAAUAUAUACUUCGGAUCAAAAUACAAUCAACUUUCUUGAGAAAUCUAAUCGUCAUGCUUUACAUAAUUAUGCAUCAAACCAUGAUAACGGAAGUUUACUUUCUAAAAAAGCAUGCUAUGUUAGGAACAAUAUCUUUGCAUGAUAAAUCUAACAGGAACAAAAUCCUUCAACUGUUGUAAUUAGAAAAGUUAAAGAGUUUAUGAUCCUACAUGCAGCGCAGCUUCUUUCACUAGUAUAGAAGAGAUUUGAUAAUGCGAUUAUUAUUAUUUGUUGAUGUGGUUUUCUAACCGCGCCAACACAUAUAAUAUCAAACAAAAACAAUAUUUGUUGAUGCGGUUUGUAAACCGCAUUAGAAAACGUGAAAAACCGUCUUAUAAAAUAUCUAAGUAAAAAUCACAAAUCGCACCAAAAACUUUGGAACCGCCCUAUUAAAUAAUUGCACCAAAAAACACAAAACUACUAUAUUAAAUAAUACCACAAAAAAAUACAAAACCGCCCUAUUAAAUAAUACCACAAAAAAAUACAAAACCGCCCUAUUAAAAUACAGCACCAAAAAAAUAACAAAACCGUACUAUCAAAAAUAACAUAUCAUUAAAACAAAUCAUCAUUAUAACAUAUCAUUAUAAGAAAUCAUCAAUAAACAAAAACAUACUAUUAAACAAAACAUUAUUAUACAAAAAACCAACAAUUUCUAAUUACACUUUAGUUAUAAUAAAACAAAAAACAUUAUAAUUCUUAAAAAAUUCUUUUCCGACCACCGUUCACCAUAUCAGUUAAACAAUGUACUAUUUCAAGACCUUAUCUUCAAGUUUAACAGCCGAAGCAAAACUUUUAUGUUCUCAACAAACUCGUUCAUAUGUUUUAUUACUAUAAAUCCACAUUCUCAUCCACCUUUUUGUUUGUAGCAGUGCAUUUAAUUCACAAUAACUAUUUCAAACCACUUGAAAUAUAUUGAUAAAAACUAAUAGAAAACAUAUUUUUACCAUUUCCCACUUAUUAAAUCGCCCCGGGAAAAUUUUUUCAAUUAAAGAAGCAAAGAGGUAAUCAUCCUUUUUCUUUUCCUCGUUGUUUUCAUAAAUUUAAGAAUCAAUAAUAUACUGCAAAAAAAAAAAAAAAAAAAAAAAAAAAAAAAAAAAAAAAAAAAAAAAAAAUAUUUAACAAGUAAACACAUGUGUAGCAUGUAUAUGUAUAAGUGUAGUGUAUAUAUGUAUGUGAACAUAUUAUGGAAAGAAAAAAAUUUACCUCUAUAAAUAUAUAUGGAACAAGAAAAUAUUGUUUGCCUUUAUGAUACGAAAAUAUUUAUUUGAUAUGUUCAACAACGGGCGACAGAUUGUUUUUAGUAUCUAAGUUUAUAAUGCAAAGCGGAUAAAAAAACCACAAUCAGAAUUGGGUUAUAUAUCAAGCCAAUCAUAAAAAUAGUUUUAAAACCUUUCAAAUGCAUAAGGCUAUAAUCAAAGUCAAUCUCUUAAAAAUAGUUGUAAAACCAUGAUAGGUAUCUUGAACCUUGCGGCGAUGCAUCCCUUUAACAACUCAGGAUCUUCAAGUGUAUAGAAUUCAGGUUCGGGUUCGGUUUCGGAUUGGGAUUUUUGUUCGGGUUCAAAUUCGGCUCCAGCUCGGGGUGCAUUUAAAUCAACUUGUAGUGGAUUCAUAGAUAAUAUUUGAAAACAAACACAAAACAUUAGUACAUAGAUAUGAUUAUAUGCGAACAUAAAACAUCCAAAAAUAAACAUAAUAUAUCUAAAAACAACAAGCAUGAAACAAGUUUUUAAUACUAACCAUAUCAAGUAAACCACCCUGAAUAUGUUCAUUAAUUUCAUGAUGAUAAAGAUUGUGGUUUUCCUCAGACUAAAUUAACAUACAAAUUGUUAUAAUAUUAAAAAAAAUCAAACUAAAUUAACAAAAAUUAAUAAUGAUUUGGUCGACUACCUGUGGACGAUAAACUGAAGUCGUCGUGAUGUCAUCAGCGUGUAUCUGUGGCGAACCACGAUUCGACCCCAUUCUCGUGCCACUAUUUGACUUGUUAAGUGUCUUGUUCACAAGCUAAAAUAUUUUGUAAUAUAUAAAUAAAAGUACACUAAAAUAUAUAGUUAUACUUAAAUACAAAUAUACCUUUAUAGCAUAUCCCAACCGAAUGUUUAACAUAUUCGACUUAUCCCGUUCAUGUGACGGCAUGCACAGGCAAGUUCUCAUAUAUUUCGAUGAUUUCAUUAACCUUAACUUUCACACAACCUUUAUUUAUAGGUUUUGAAUGUAUUACCAUUUCAGAUGUUGACCAUGCAAUAUCAUAAACUAUUUUCAAUUGGGUAUCAGCCACAUUCACAAGCAAAUCACAUUCUAUCCUAACCUGCAAAUCAUACAAUAUUUUUUUUAAAUAUAAUAUAAAAACAUGAUAUAUAUAUAUAUAUAUAUAUAUAUAAUUAAAUAUCCUUUUUAUGUGGAAACUAUAAAUAUAUUACUUCAAUAGGUGGAUCAUCUGUCAACCAUCCACCAGACGAACAACUAGAUUCAUGGAAUGUUGGGAUCAUGUCAACAUGUGGUUUCGUGUUUCAACUAUUUUCCACAUUCUUAAACAAUCCAUAGUAAACUUGAGUAGGGCCAAUGAUAUUGGAUAUUCUUUGUGAUCGCCCCCGUGAUCGUGUCCCAAAAGUCUAACUAAUGGGUCUUUUUUAUUUUGAAAAUUACUCACAUCGGCUAUCAUUCUUUUCUCUUUUUGUUCCUAUGAAAAAAAAAUACUUGGCAAGAUAUAUUUAGUAAAAAAACAAAAUCUUCAUCAAGUGAAAAACAUAAUUGUUUACCAUAAAAUGAAAAUCUUCAAUUGACCCUUGUAGAAAAAUCAUACAUAUUGGUUUUUUUGUUUUUUAUUGCAAAACCAUUAAAUACAGCCUAAACCGUUCAUUUUGUAUACGAUCCAGAAACUCGUAUUUUGAUACAAGUUGAGGCCAUAUACUGUCUUUUUUGUUCAAGACCCUACCAUCCACUUCGUGCUAAGCACACAAUGAAUAUUCUUUUGUCAUUGCUUUCUUUAGCUUUUGCACUUUUUGCCUUCAUACAUACCAACAAAAUAAUAAUAACAACAAUAACAAUAACAAUAAAUAAACAAUUAAAACAUACCAAAAACUCAGGGGUAGUUUUUUGUGCAACGAACCUAUUAUAUACAUCAGUUUUAUAAAACCAUAUUUAAGACAGUCAUUCAAUCCUUGGAUCAUAAAAUUUAUAACAAAGUAUGAUUUAAAAGUUGAUGCAACCUUCACAGCUUUCUUCUUCAUAAAAUUUUCCUGAUCAUCAGACUCAAUGUUCCACUGUUUUACAAUUUUAAAACAAGAGUUUAAACAUAAUAAUUAAUUAACAAGUUAUUCAUAUUUAUAAUAAAUUAAAAUAUAAAUACAUUGGUUCCAACCAUAAAUCUUUAAAAUAUGUUUCUUCAAGUUUACGUGUCUCUAUAUCUAUAGAAACCUAUGUCGAGCCAUCAUGCCAUACCAAGAAUUCAACCUCAUUGGCAUGCCACCGUUUGGAAUAUUAUUUUCAUCAAACUUCACUUGAUACUUUUUAGAGGAAUCUUUGACUUAAAUGCACCAAUACCACUUUCACAACAAUAAAUCAAUACUGUAAAUAUUCUAAACUAUACGACAUGAGACAGUCACGUUCAUAUAUAUUCUAAAAGAUUCGAAACACCUUUUCACAAUAAAACUUUUUGACAACAAAUCAAUACAUAUACACCUUGGUCGAGACAACAACAAAUCACUGUAUAUAUAUACUAACUCAAAAAUGACAUUGUGACGCGGAGACUUGUGGAACGAAUUAGGCGACGUGGACGGCGGAGUUAGUGAAUGUUGUCCGAUAAAUGUGAGAUUAAUCGUCGAUUUAGCCGUCCGGGACCACUAUAAACGGGAAUUUCCGUCGGAAGGGUUUAGGAUUUCGGAUAUGAAGGUUUCAAGACAAGAGCUCGCAUGCAAUGAAAAAUAUUUGUAAGGCAAAUGACGAAAAUCAUAAGAAGAAAACCUUUGUGGAGCGAUUUAGGUAUUUUUUGGGGCGAUUAAUGUAGGGGGAUAUCCGAAUUCUUAAACCCUUCUUCUGUAAUAUCUUUAAUAUUCGCCUACAUUAGUCGCCCCAAAAAAUACCUAAACCGUUCCCAAGGUUUUCCCUCUUAUGAUUUUCGUCAUUUGUUUUUCAAAUAUUUUCAUUGCGCGCGAGCUCUCUUCUCGAAACCUCCAUAUCCGAAUUCGUAAACCUUUCUCUGUAAUACCUUCAUAGCCCAGGCCGACGGAAAUUCCCGUUUUUAGUGGUCCCAAACGGCUAAAUCGACACUAAAUCUCACACUUAUCGGACAGCAUUCACUAACUCCGCCGUCCACGUAGACUAAUUCGCUCCAUAAGUCUCCGCGUCACAUUGUCAUUUUUAAGUUUUCUGUCAUAUAAGGUAUAUAUAUAUCCAUUGAUUUGUUGUUGUCUCGAAUAAGGUGUAUAUACAUUGAUUUGUUGUCAAAAAGUUUUAUUGUGAAAAGGUGUUUCGAAUCUUUUAUAAUAGAUAUGAACGUGACUGUCUCAUGUCGUAUAAUUUAGAAUCUUUACAGUAUUGAUUUGUUGUGAAAAAGUGUUACUACUUUAUAUUAUAGUUUGGAAUCUUUAGAAUAUAUAAACGUGACCGUCUCCCGUUUAAUAAAUGUAAUAUAUAGCCCCACAUAUAUAGGGUCUACCAAUUUAUUGGAUCGAUCCUUUUCACUGCAUUAUGUUAGAUUCUGGUUUUGUAUUCAUGUAAUAUACAAUUGUAUUGGAUUAUGGUUGUUGUCCUUAUGUAAUGUCUAUCUUCUGUUAUCUAUGGAUAAACUUAUUUUUAAUUUUUUUCAAUAUUGUUAGGUUUGUAAAAAUGGAAAAUGUACAAACAAGAAAAAGAGGUGAACACGGUAUUGGUGCAUUUAAGUCAAAGAUUCAUCCAGCAAAGUAUCAAGUGAAGUUCCAUAACAAUAAUAUUCCAAACGGUGGCAUGCCAAACCGGUUUAAUUCUUGGUAUGGUUAUGGUUCGACACAAGUUUCUAUAGAUAUAAAGACGGGUAAACUUGAAGAAACAUAUUUUAAAGAUUUAUGGUUGGAAACCAAGGUAUUUAUAUUUUAAUUUAUUACAAAUAUAAAUAACUUGUUAAUUAAUUAUUAUGUUUAACCUCUUUUGUUUUGAAAUUAUAAAACAGUGAAACAUUAAGUCUGAUGAUCAGGAAAAUUAUAUGAAGAAGAAAGCAAAACUAUAAAACAGUGAAACACUAAGUCUGAUGAUCGGGAAAAUUAUAUGAAGAAGAAAAGUUGUGAAGCUUGCAUCAAAUUUUAAAUCAUACCUUGUUAUAAAUUUUAUGAGUCAAUGAUUGAAUGCUUGUCUUAAAUAUGGGUUUUAUAAAACCUGAUAGGAUUGAUUUGUUGCACAAAAAACUACCCCCGAGUUUUUUGUAUGUUUUAAUUGUUUAUUUAUUUAUUUAAUUUUUUUUAGUAUCAUUAUUAUUAUAUAACCUCAACUUGUAUCAAAAUACAAGUUUCUGGAUCGUAUACAAAAUGAACGGUCUAGGCUGUAUUUAAUGGCUUUCACAAUAAAAAACAAAGAAACCAAUAUGUAUGAUCUUCUACAAUGGUCAAUUGAAGAUUUUCAUUUUUUGGUAAACAAUUAUGUUUUUUACUUGAUGAAGAUUUUGAUUUUUACUAGAUAUAUCUUGCCAAGUAUUUUUUUUUUUCAUAGGAACAAAAAAAGAAAAGAAUGAUGGCCGAUGAGAGUUAUUUUCAAAAUAAAAAAGACCCGUUAGUUAGACUUUUGGGACACGAUCACGGAGGCGAUCACAAAAAAUAUCCAAUAUCAUUGGCCCUACUCAAGUUUACUAUGGAUUGUUUAAGAAUGUGGAAAAUAGUCAAAGCACGAAACCACAGGUUGACAUGAUCCCAACAUUCCAUGAAUCUAGUGGUGUGUCUGAUAGACGGUUGACAGAAUAUCUACCUAUUGACAUAAUAUAUUUAUAAUUUCCACAUAACAUAGAUAUUUAUGUAUAUUAUAAAGUUAUGUUUUUAUAUUAUAUAUUUAUAAAAGAUGUUGUAUGAUUUUCAGGUUAGGAUAGAAUGUGAUUUGCUAGUGAAUGUGGUUGAUACCCAAUUAAAAGUAGCUUAUGAUAUUGCAUGGUCAACAUCUGAAACGGUAAUAAAGGUUAUGUGAAAGUUCAGGUUGAUGAAAUCAUUGAAAUAUAUGAGAGCUUGCCUGCACAUGUUAUAUGAAUGUCGCCACACGAACAGAAGAAGUUGAAUAUGUUAACCAUCUUCUGCAUACCCUCGUUCAUACCCUCGUUCAGUGGUUGAGAUAUGCAAUAAAGGUAUAUUUGAAUUUAAAUAUAACUAUAUAUUUUAGUAUAUUUUUAUUUAAAUAUUACAAAGUAUUGUAGCUUGUGAACAAGACACAUAGCAAGUCAAAUAAUGGCACAGAAAUGGGGUCGAAUCGCAAUUCGAUACAGAUGACAUCACGACGACUUCAGUUUAUCAUCCACAAGUACUCGACCAAAUCAUUCUUAUUUUUUGUUAAUUUAGUUAAAAAAAAAUAAUAUUAUAACAAUUUGUUUGUUAUUUUAGUUCGAAGAAAACCACAUUCUUUAUCAUCAUGAAAUUAAUAAACAUAUUCAAGAUGGUUUACUUGAUAUUGUUGGUGUUAAAAACUUGUUUUAUGCUUGUUGUGUUUAGAUUUAUUAUGUUUGUUUUUAGAUGUUUUAUGUUUGUAUAUAAUCAUAUCUAUGUACUAAUGUUUUGUGUUUUUAGAUAUUGUCUAUGAAUCCACCACAAGUUGAUUUAAAUGCACCCGAGCCGGAAUCGAACCCAAACCCGACCCAGAACUCAAAUCUAAAUCCAAAACCAAACCCGAACUUAAAUUUUAUACAUUUGAAGAUCCUAAGUUGUGUAUGGCUCCUUAAGCAGAGUACAACAAUAACGACCUAAGUUUCUAUCUGUUGUUUUUCAAUUUGAUUUUCAAGUAUCAAGGUUUUUUGGGAAUGCAAAUGCCAUUAAUAUUUUUUCACACAAAGAGAGGCAUCGCAUCAGGGUUCAAUUUACCAUCUCAUAUCUUAGUGUUACAACUAUUUUUAAGAGAUUGGCUUGAUUAAGUUAUCAUGCAUUGGUUUGCAAUGUAAGUUAUUCUAUCUCUCUCUCUAUAUAUAUAUAUAUAUAUAUANNNNNNNNNNNNNNNNNNNNNNNNNNNNNNNNNNNNNNNNNNNNNNNNNNNNNNNNNNNNNNNNNNNNNNNNNNNNNNNNNNNNNNNNNNNNNNNNNNNNNNNNNNNNNNNNNNNNNNNNNNNNNNNNNNNNNNNNNNNNNNNNNNNNNNNNNNNNNNNNNNNNNNNNNNNNNNNNNNNNNNNNNNNNNNNNNNNNNNNNNNNNNNNNNNNNNNNNNNNNNNNNNNNNNNNNNNNNNNNNNNNNNNNNNNNNNNNNNNNNNNNNNNNNNNNNNNNNNNNNNNNNNNNNNNNNNNNNNNNNNNNNNNNNNNNNNNNNNNNNNNNNNNNNNNNNNNNNNNNNNNNNNNNNNNNNNNNNNNNNNNNNNNNNNNNNNNNNNNNNNNNNNNNNNNNNNNNNNNNNNNNNNNNNNNNNNNNNNNNNNNNNNNNNNNNNNNNNNNNNNNNNNNNNNNNNNNNNNNNNNNNNNNNNNNNNNNNNNNNNNNNNNNNNNNNNNNNNNNNNNNNUAUAUAUAUAUAUAUCAAAGAAGUACUUUCGUAUCAUAAAGACAAACAAUAUUAUUUUGCUCCGCAUUUACAGAGGUAAUUUUUUUCCAUAAUGUGUUCACAUUUAUAUACACACUACACAUAUAUGCUUACUUGUUAAAUAAUUCUUAUUUUUGCAGUAGGCAUCGGGUGCUUUUUAUCCUAUGUUCGGAAAGCAAAAUGCAGUUAUAUUCUUGAUUCUUUAAUUUACAAAAAGAACAAUGAAAAGAAAAAGAGCCUUUACCUCUUUGCUUCUUUAAUUAAUAAAGUUUUCCAGGGAUGAUUUAAUAAGUAGGGAACAAUAAAGGUAUGUUUUCUAUUAAUUUUUAUCAAUAUAUUUCAAAUGGUUUGAAAUAGUUAUUAUGAAUUAAAUGCAUUGCUACAAACAAAAAGGUGGAUCAGAAUGUGGAUUUAUAGUAAUAAAACAUAGAGAGAAUUUCAUAUAUGCCCCUUUUAAACUUCAAAAUAUCAUAUCUGCCCAGCUUAAUUUCUCAAUAUCAGUUUUAUCUUUCAUAAACCUUCAAAAUAUCAUAUUUGUCCAAGUCCUUUUUUAUAAUGUUUUUAAUAUUUUAUAAUUAUUUUUUAUACCUUAGAAUUAUUAUAAUAAUUAAAAAUUUUAACCAUGUCAUUCUUACGUCUAAUGGAAUAUGAACUUCUAAAUUGUUGGAAUGUCGCCCUUCUGACAAACAAAAAGAUUCAUCUUCAAUCCUCUCUAUGGAAUUUAUAUUUUGAUUGUUUAGUUUUGUUGUUGAUUAUUAUCAUGUAUAUGGAUGAUAUUUUAGAUAUUAACAUUGAUAUUUUGAUGUUUAAAAACUACAUAUACGAUAUUUUGAUAUUUAAGAAGAGCGUAUAUGAUAUUUUGAUGUUUAAAAAGAAAAUAUAUAAUAUUUAGAAAUUUUAUACAGGGUAAAUAUGAUAUUUAGAAAUUAAGUUGGGUAAAUAUGAUAUUUUUGAUGUUUAAAAAAUGCAUAAAUUAAAUUCUCUUUAGAACAUAUGAAGAAAUUUGUUGGGACCAGUCAACAUGAUUUAGAAAAUAAAGUAAGUAUUUUGUAUAUAUUUAAAAUAUCAAUAUUUUUAUUUAGUUAUAUAUAUUUUAAAUAUCAAUAUUUGUUUGUUAGUUGUAGUUUUGGAAAAAAAAAAUUUGCUUUGGCCAGUAAACUUGAAGAUAUGGUCUUAGAAAUAGUACCUCGUUUAAUUGACAUGGUGAACGAGUUGGUCAGAAAAAAAAUUUGUAAGAUUAUAAUGUUUUGCGUUUUAUUAUAAAUAAAAUGUUGAUUUGUUAUUGUUUAAUAAUAUGUUUUUGUUUAUUGAUGAUUUGUUAUAAUGAUAUGUUAUUUUUUAUAGUGCGGUUUUGUUUUUUUAUGCUGUAUUUUAUUAGGUUGGUUUUAUAUUUUUUAGUGUUAUUAUUUAGAAGGAUUUUGUAUUUUUUGGUGCUAUUAUUUAAUAGAGUGGUUCUUAAUUUUUUGAUGUGAUUUGCGAUUUUCACUUAGAUAUUUUAUAAGGUGGUUUUUCAUGUUUUCUAAUGCGGUUUACAAACCGCAUAAACAAAUAUUGUUAUUUUUUUAUGCUAUAUUUGUUGGUGCGGUUAGAAAACCGCAUAACAAAUAAUAAUAACCGCAUUAUCACUUAAAAUAAAAUGUAACUAAAACUUAAUGCUCCUAGAGACUCCGCCAACAAUUAAACAAAAAAUAAAAAGUUAAUAAAAUUAGCCUAAGAGGAAUUGUUAAUAAAACUCAAACUGAUCAAAAAACUUUAUGAUUUUGAGAAGAUUUGUUGUUCUCCUGUCUUACCAAAAGAAAUUAUUAUGUGUUAAUUUUGACAUUAAAAUCGUACAGAUAUCAAGUUUGGAAAAUCACAGUAAAUAGCAACAUGCUUUACUCUUUUUGAAGUGUGUGCAAUGUAACUUUAAAAAAAUAGCACCUUAGUUACAUGUCAAAAAAGAAAGAAAUGAAAAAUGAAAGUUAAAUUGCACACAGUGUGGGAACUCUGAAAUAAAAAAAUAAAUAAUAAUAAUAAUAAUUAUAAAAGUUACAGGACCCAACAAAGAUAAAUACUUACCUUCCAUUGAUGUGGAUAACUGUAUAUGUGCUAUGGCUUUUUCAACAUUGUUCACUACUUCCAUAAUGUUAACCAAACCAUGCACUCAGUCUCAUGUUUUUGCCUUUUUGUUCAAAUUCUUUUUUAACCUAACAAAAACAGAAACGGUGAAUACUGAAAUACUGUACGAGGUAAGAUUAUUGACUAAAAGAUCCUGAUCUGAUACAGUUAGUUUUCAUGUCCAUAUAUUAACUUUAUUUUUACAGGAAAAAAAAAAAAAACCCUGGACCCUGGAGAAAUAAAGUAGUAUAAAGAAUAAAUAAAAAAAAAGGUAUAAGAACGAAAAGAUGAGAAAGAAAAACCCCCAACAAACAGAUAAAACCAAGAAUCCCAACGAAAAACCAACAAAAUGCAGUUUCCUUCUUAAAUUAUAAUGCAUCUGGAAAAAUCAAAAUCAGAGUUUACAAAAAUACCGCCAACGAAUAGAUGAAGAAAAAGGCAGGGUAAUGCUAGAAACCCUAAUGAGUAGAAAGACAACAAAAUAAGAUUAAAGACAUAGCAAUUAACCUUUGAUUAUUUCCUAUUCAAACAUCAAUUUUAAUUUGACAAGGAAAUUACAAUAUCUUAACCGAAAAAAAAAAAAAAAAACAACCCUAGAGAAAACUUACAACGAUCUUGUUAAUUUCUUGGACUAGAGAGAUGAAUGAGAGUUACCUGCGCAGGUUGGGGGUGUUUACUGUUUAGGUCUCCGGCAGUGGAGUUACAUAGAUCGCUAUGGGUCAGGGGUGUUUGGGUUUGUUGAGGGCAGAAUAACUGAAGAACGCGCGACCACAAACAAAUCCUGUCGAAUUCAAAGGGUUUCUUAGAUCACCGGCGAAGAAAGGAAGGUAGUGUUUUGGCCUCCGGGGAGCGGAGGAGUUAGAGUAGAGAGAUCGUCAGGGUUUGGGUCUUGUGAGAACGGGAGUUAGGGCAUGUUUGGGGUUUGGGUCUUGUGAGAAUGAUGGGAAUGAUACGUUUUUAAAGUGCUUGUUUGGC